Molecule: ribosomal RNA, 229 nt
Filed under: uncultured bacterium
Lineage: Bacteria
Description: partial 16S ribosomal RNA
Rfam family: Bacterial small subunit ribosomal RNA
Source: RNAcentral
UUCGUAGGCUGUCGCGCAAGUCUGAUGUGAAAUCUCCGGGCUCAACCCGGAAACUGCAUUGGAAACUGCGUGACUUGAGUACUGGAGAGGUAAGCGGAAUUCCUGGUGUAGCGGUGGAAUGCGUAGAUAUCAGGAGGAACACCGAUGGCGAAGGCAGCUUACUGGACAGUUACUGACGCUGAGGAACGAAAGCUAGGGGAGCGAACAGGAUUAGAUACCCGAGUAGUCC